The sequence is a non-coding RNA, 104 nucleotides long. It matches the Rfam family "Vibrio RNA AS9". Rfam says of the family: Identified by direct cloning an parallel sequencing experiments with 5S/tRNA depletion. The record is from Rfam.
CUGGUCACAGCGCUCUUCGGUCAGGGUCAGGCAGAUCAGGCCGCGGCCAUACUUGGCCAUGAAAUUGAUCGCCUCCGGGGUGACAUGCUCGGCUGCCAUGGUCA